GGGACUAUUUUUUUUUUAGGGGGGAAAAUGCAUUCCGCAUACCACCCGGGUGCGGGGGGUGACCCGAGUGGUUAUGUGGGACUCCCGUCUAGGCUAAUGAGGCCCACGGUAUACCCACUAAAAACCCCCCAUAUACCGCCUCGCCGCCCUAUUGGUGGGGUUACAGGAACGCUUGCGUACUCAUCCGCGACCCCACCGGCCCUUCACGCUAGGCGCGCCAGAUGGUUCGACGCGCCUUCCUCCUCCGCCUCCGUUCUGCACUGUAGCGGACCCCCCCGAGGCCGCCACAAGGAAGCCACGGGCGCCAGAAAGUUCUCCGGCGCCCGGCGACAGAUCAGGUCUAUGGUUCUGUCGCAAAACCACAAUUCGGCUGCAGAGGACAGGGAGAACGGCACAUCGUAACACCGACACUCCUCUUCCUCUGCAGCCCCACCAACGCCGCUACAGCGGAACGGCACCGCCAAGUUCGCAGGGGAUAGGGCGAGUGGCGAUCGUAAUACCAUCACGCGUCUUCCCCUGCGAUCCCACCUCGGCCGCCGAGGAUAGGAAGAACGGCUCACCGCAAUACCGACACUCCUCUUCCUCGACGGUCCACCUCCAACGCGUCACAAGCGGGCUUAACAAGCCCACUUGGAGCGUCCUCCUCGGGCCAGCCCGACCCUCAAACAGGCCGGCCCUGGUUGCCUCUUCGCUUCACCGUGGGUGACCAAGCCACGGUUACUAAGCCCCUCCACCACGACAAGGUGAGCAACCCGCGGGGGGAGACUA
Cydia splendana is the source of this 768-nucleotide long non-coding RNA. RefSeq lists it as uncharacterized. The record is from RefSeq and is a predicted model, not a curated record. Lineage: Eukaryota; Metazoa; Arthropoda; Insecta; Lepidoptera; Tortricidae. The transcript has 2 exons.